RNAcentral lists this ribosomal RNA (500 nucleotides) under uncultured bacterium. Its description in RNAcentral is "partial 16S ribosomal RNA". It matches the Rfam family "Bacterial small subunit ribosomal RNA", at positions 30 to 523 of the family's 1533-position model. The record is from RNAcentral.
AUUGAACGCUGGCGGCAUGCCUUACACAUGCAAGUCGAACGGCAGCGCGGACUUCGGUCUGGCGGCGAGUGGCGAACGGGUGAGUAAUACAUCGGAACGUACCCUGUUGUGGGGGAUAACUAGUCGAAAGAUUAGCUAAUACCGCAUACGACCUGAGGGUGAAAGUGGGGGACCGCAAGGCCUCACGCAGCAGGAGCGGCCGAUGUCUGAUUAGCUAGUUGGUGGGGUAAAGGCCCACCAAGACGACGAUCAGUAGCUGGUCUGAGAGGACGAUCAGCCACACUGGGACUGAGACACGGCCCAGACUCCUACGGGAGGCAGCAGUGGGGAAUUUUGGACAAUGGGGGCAGCCCUGAUCCAGCAAUGCCGCGUGUGUGAAGAAGGCCUUCGGGUUGUAAAGCACUUUUGUCCAGAAAGAAAUCGCGCUGGUUAAUACCUGGCGUGGAUGACGGUACCGGAAGAAUAAGCACCGGCUAACUACGUGCCAGCCGCCGCGGUAA